GAUGAACGCUAGCGGCAGGCCUAACACAUGCAAGUCGAACGGUAACAGGAAAUAGCUUGCUAUUUUGCUGACGAGUGGCGCACGGGUGCGUAACGCGUAUACAAUCUACCUUUUACAGGGGGAUAGCCUUUAGAAAUGAAGAUCAAUACCCCAUAGUAUCUAGAAUUCGCAUGGGAUUUAGAUUAAAGAUUUAUCGGUAAAAGAUGAGUAUGCGUUCUAUUAGCUAGAUGGUGUGGUAACGGCACACCAUGGCUACGAUAGAUAGGGGCCCUGAGAGGGGGAUCCCCCACACUGGUACUGAGACACGGACCAGACUCCUACGGAGGCAGCAGUGAGGAAUAUUGGACAAUGGGCGCGAGCCUGAUCCAGCCAUGCCGCGUGCAGGAAGACUGCCCUAUGGGUUGUAAACUGCUUUUGUACAGGAAGAACCCCCCGAACGUGUUCGGGGCUGGACGGUACUGUAAGAAUAAGGAUCGGCUAACUCCGUGCCAGC
Molecule: ribosomal RNA, 493 nt
Filed under: uncultured bacterium
Lineage: Bacteria
Description: bacterial SSU rRNA
Rfam family: Bacterial small subunit ribosomal RNA
Source: RNAcentral